UGUCCAAACGCAAUUCUUGAGUCACGUCAAAACUCAACCGCAAGAAUUGUGUAUGGACAU
Molecule: microRNA precursor, 60 nt
Organism: Gadus morhua (Atlantic cod)
Lineage: Eukaryota; Metazoa; Chordata; Actinopteri; Gadiformes; Gadidae
Gene: gmo-mir-219-2
Product: gmo-mir-219-2
Source: Ensembl